RNAcentral lists this ribosomal RNA (467 nucleotides) under uncultured bacterium. Its description in RNAcentral is "partial 16S ribosomal RNA". It matches the Rfam family "Bacterial small subunit ribosomal RNA", at positions 28 to 507 of the family's 1533-position model. The record is from RNAcentral.
GAUGAACGCUGGCGGCGUGCUUAACACAUGCAAGUCGAACGGAAAGGCCUCUGCUUGCAGGGGUACUCGAGUGGCGAACGGGUGAGUAACACGUGGGUGAUCUGCCCUGCACUUCGGGAUAAGCCUGGGAAACUGGGUCUAAUACCGGAUAGGACAAUGGUUUGGAUGCUGUUGUGGAAAGUUUUUCGGUGUGGGAUGAGCUCGCGGCCUAUCAGCUUGUUGGUGGGGUAAUGGCCUACCAAGGCGUCGACGGGUAGCCGGCCUGAGAGGGUGUACGGCCACAUUAGAACUGAGAGACGGGCCAGACUCCUACGGGAGGGAGCAGUGGGGAAUAUUGGACAAUGGGCGCAAGCCUGAUGCAGCGACGCCGCGUGGGGGAUGACGGCCUUCGGGUUGUAAACACCUUUCGCUAGGGACGAAGCGUUUUUGUGACGGUACCUAGAGAAGAAGCACCGGCUAACUACGUG